RNAcentral lists this ribosomal RNA (448 nucleotides) under uncultured bacterium. RNAcentral's name for it is "partial 16S ribosomal RNA". It matches the Rfam family "Bacterial small subunit ribosomal RNA", at positions 331 to 795 of the family's 1533-position model. The record is from RNAcentral.
CCAGACUCCUACGGGAGGCAGCAGUGGGGAAUAUUGCACAAUGGGGGAAACCCUGAUGCAGCAACGCCGCGUGAGUGAGGAAGUAUUUCGGUAUGUAAAGCUCUAUCAGCAGGGAAUAGAAAAGAAGGUACCUGAAAAAGAAGCCCCGGCUAACUACGUGCCAGCAGCCGCGGUAAUACGUAGGUGGCAAGCGUUGUCCGGAUUUACUAGGUGUAAAGGGCGUGUAGCCGGGAAGGCAAGUCAGAUGUGAAAUCUGGAGGCUCAACCUCCAAAUUGCAUUUGAAACUGUUUUUCUUGAGUACUGGAGAGGCAGACGGAAUUCCUUGUGUAGCGGUGAAAUGCGUAGAUAUAAGGAGGAACACCAGUGGCGAAGGCGGUCUGCUGGACAGCAACUGACGGUGAGGCGCGAAAGCGUGGGGAGCAAACAGGAUUAGAUACCCCGGUACCU